GCGUGCCAGAGCCUCAGGCCCGUGUUUGAGGUGUGGGAGAAGUCGUUGUGCUCGAGCGUGUUGUCGUCCGAAUCGACGAGCACGCA
Molecule: transfer RNA, 86 nt
Filed under: Aquisphaera giovannonii
Lineage: Bacteria; Pseudomonadati; Planctomycetota; Planctomycetia; Isosphaerales; Isosphaeraceae
Description: tRNA-Ser
Source: RNAcentral